GGACUACUGGGGUAUCUAAUCCUGUUUGAUCCCCACACUUUCGUGCUUCAGUGUCAGAUUUGACCUGGUAUGCUGCCUACGCUAUCGGGGUUCUUCGUAAUAUCUAUGCAUUUCACCGCUACACUACGAAUUCCGCAUACCUCGUACAAUCUCAAGUCUGACAGUUUCAACGGCAAUUUCCCUGUUGAGCAGGAACAUUUCACCGCUGACUUACCAAACAACCUACGCACCCUUUAAACCCAAUAAAUCCGGAUAACGCUCGCAUCCUCCGUAUUACCGCGGCUGCUGGCAC
RNAcentral lists this ribosomal RNA (292 nucleotides) under uncultured Bacteroidota bacterium. RNAcentral describes it as "uncultured Bacteroidetes bacterium partial 16S ribosomal RNA". The record is from RNAcentral. Lineage: Bacteria; Pseudomonadati; Bacteroidota.